Molecule: unclassified non-coding RNA, 505 nt
Filed under: Davidiella sp. N40
Lineage: Eukaryota; Fungi; Ascomycota; Dothideomycetes; Cladosporiales; Cladosporiaceae
Description: sequence contains ITS1, 5.8S rRNA gene, ITS2
Rfam family: 5.8S ribosomal RNA (bases 140-293)
Source: RNAcentral
UCGGCCUGGUUAUUCNUAACCCUUUGUUGUCCGACUCUGUUGCCUCCGGGGCGACCCUGCCUUCGGGCGGGGGCUCCGGGUGGACACUUCAAACUCUUGCGUAACUUUGCAGUCUGAGUAAACUUAAUUAAUAAAUUAAAACUUUUAACAACGGAUCUCUUGGUUCUGGCAUCGAUGAAGAACGCAGCGAAAUGCGAUAAGUAAUGUGAAUUGCAGAAUUCAGUGAAUCAUCGAAUCUUUGAACGCACAUUGCGCCCCCUGGUAUUCCGGGGGGCAUGCCUGUUCGAGCGUCAUUUCACCACUCAAGCCUCGCUUGGUAUUGGGCAACGCGGUCCGCCGCGUGCCUCAAAUCGUCCGGCUGGGUCUUCUGUCCCCUAAGCGUUGUGGAAACUAUUCGCUAAAGGGUGUUCGGGAGGCUACGCCGUAAAACAACCCCAUUUCUAAGGUUGACCUCGGAUCAGGUAGGGAUACCCGCUGAACUUAAGCAUAUCAAUUAAGCGGAGGA